RNAcentral lists this long non-coding RNA (204 nucleotides) under Lathyrus oleraceus (garden pea). RNAcentral describes it as "Pisum sativum (pea) long non-coding RNA (PSAT_LNC039822)". Lineage: Eukaryota; Viridiplantae; Streptophyta; Magnoliopsida; Fabales; Fabaceae. The record is from RNAcentral.
UAUAUGCAAUGUAUUGUCAUAGACAUUAUCAACAUUAAAUUGAGUGUCAACCGACAUUUUCUAUAACUAUCAAUAAAUUAGCAUUUCAUGUAAAAAUUAAUUAAGUUUAAAUUUUUCUAAGUGGUAAACAUUACAUUAAAUCCAUUGAGAAUAAAGAGUUGAAAAAAUGAAUGAGACGCAACUAUGUGUUUUUAGAAUCAAGAG